UGAGCAAUCUGCCCUUCACAUCGGAAUAACCAUUGGAAACGAUGGCUAAUACCGAAUAUGACUUCGGAUCGCAUGAUCUGAAGUGGAAAGCUCCGGCGGUGAAGGAUGAGCUCGCGGCCUAUCAGCUUGUUGGUGAGGUAAUAGCUCACCAAGGCGACGACGGGUAGCCGGCCUGGAGGGGUGACCCGGCCACACUGGGACUGAGACACCGGCCCAUAUCCGUACGGGG
This 229-nucleotide ribosomal RNA is filed under the name uncultured bacterium. RNAcentral's name for it is "partial 16S ribosomal RNA". It matches the Rfam family "Bacterial small subunit ribosomal RNA", at positions 118 to 346 of the family's 1533-position model. The record is from RNAcentral.